RNAcentral lists this ribosomal RNA (299 nucleotides) under Eurytrema sp. 2 AC-2021. RNAcentral describes it as "partial small subunit ribosomal RNA". Lineage: Eukaryota; Metazoa; Platyhelminthes; Trematoda; Plagiorchiida; Dicrocoeliidae. The record is from RNAcentral.
AUAGUGAGAAGUUUUGGGUUAAAUUGUUUCUUAGUUGAGAAGAUCCUGGGAUGGAGUGUGAGCCCGUGUCAGAGAAAAGGAUUAGGUACCCUUAUAUUCGUGUGGAACAAUUUUGUGUCCUUGAUAGUUAAUUUAAAAGAAUUUGGCAGCUGGUGGUUUCUUCCGGGGGAGUGUGCUCAUUAAAAAGAUGGUCCGCUUAUUAUUUUACCACUUUUUAGGGUUAGUGUACAUCCGGUUUGAUAUUUUUAAUUAGAGUUUGGGGUUAAAUAUAUAAUUAAAGCCGGGUCAAUAUGCUGCUA